UACGGAGGAUGCGAGCGUUAUCCGGAUUUAUUGGGUUUAAAGGGUGCGCAGGCGGGCUGUUAAGCCGGCGGUAAAAAUUCAGGGCUCAACCCUGUCGAGCCGUCGGAACUGGCAGUCUUGAGAUGUCGAGAGGUAUGCGGAAUGCGCAGUGUAGCGGUGAAAUGCUUAGAUAUUGCGCAGAACUCCGAUUGCGAAGGCAGCAUACCGGCGGCGAUCUGACGCUGAGGCACGAAAGCGUGGGGAGCAAACAGG
RNAcentral lists this ribosomal RNA (252 nucleotides) under uncultured Bacteroidales bacterium. Its description in RNAcentral is "partial 16S ribosomal RNA". It matches the Rfam family "Bacterial small subunit ribosomal RNA", at positions 524 to 776 of the family's 1533-position model. Lineage: Bacteria; Pseudomonadati; Bacteroidota; Bacteroidia; Bacteroidales. The record is from RNAcentral.